Molecule: transfer RNA, 75 nt
Filed under: Vicugna pacos (alpaca)
Lineage: Eukaryota; Metazoa; Chordata; Mammalia; Artiodactyla; Camelidae
Description: tRNA-Asp (ATC) (tRNA-Asp-ATC-8-1)
Rfam family: tRNA
About the family: Transfer RNA (tRNA) molecules are approximately 80 nucleotides in length.
Source: RNAcentral
GGAGAGGGUGCAGCUCAGUGGUAGAGCGUGUGCUUAUCAUGCACGAGGUCCUGGGUUCAAUCCCCAGUACCUCCA